RNAcentral lists this long non-coding RNA (342 nucleotides) under Heterocephalus glaber (naked mole-rat). Its description in RNAcentral is "lncRNA (ENSHGLG00000031561.2)". Lineage: Eukaryota; Metazoa; Chordata; Mammalia; Rodentia; Bathyergidae. The record is from RNAcentral.
CAGCUCCUGCAGGUAGGGUCAGCUUUCCAAGACCAUCUCUUGGAAAGUCCUUUGAAGGACUGAAGCUCAUCACCUGUGCUGAGAACCUGGAAGGUGAAACUAAAGUUGGCAAGGUUGGGACUAAAUUCAAGAUGCCUGCCUUUACAUUUUAAGCUUUCUCUGUUAUUCCAUAACAUAAGAAACAGAAAUACAAAAGUGAACAUCAGUUGGGAAGAUCUGAAUAGUUAAAGCAGAAUUUCUCAAGUUGGCUGUGAAUUGAUGCUAACAUUGUCACCAGGUGUUAUAGCCUUGCAAGCUCAUCAUCUGGGACAAAGCAUCUUGAUGAUGGGAGUGUGUUGUUAU